AUGAAGCUGGAUUCGCUAGUAAUCGCGCAUCAGCCACGGCGCGGUGAACACGUUCCCGGGCCUUGUACACACCGCCCGUCAAGCCAUGGAAGCCGGGAGUGCCUGAAGUACGCGACCGCAAGGAGCGUCCUAAGGUAAAACCGGUGACUGGGGCUAAGUCGUAACAAGGUACC
This 173-nucleotide ribosomal RNA is filed under the name uncultured bacterium. Its description in RNAcentral is "partial 16S ribosomal RNA". It matches the Rfam family "Bacterial small subunit ribosomal RNA", at positions 1320 to 1500 of the family's 1533-position model. The record is from RNAcentral.